Molecule: long non-coding RNA, 2503 nt
Organism: Hippocampus zosterae (dwarf seahorse)
Lineage: Eukaryota; Metazoa; Chordata; Actinopteri; Syngnathiformes; Syngnathidae
Exons: 3
Source: RefSeq, a predicted model, not a curated record
UUUUUUUUUUUUUUUUGGGUGCGUGAGGAGUGACAAAUCCAGAAAAGUAUAUUUAAGCGAAUGUAGUACCAGUAAUUCAUGUACAUUUUUUUUCUAUACGAAAGAAAUUAAAUCUGAUUGAAUGUGCAGUACUGCGGGCGGAGACUUUCGUGAUCAUACUCCUCUGGGCUUCGGUGUUUUUGAUUCAUAGUCUUUUCAAAUACUUGUGUGCAUUACUUGUGAAUAUACCGUAUUGGCCCGAAUAUAAGAUGGUGUUUUUUGCAUUGAAAUAAGACUGAAAAAGUGGGGGUCGUCUUAUAUUCGGGGUCUAGACAUUAUACCCAUUCACGACGCUAGAUGGCGCCAGAUAUCAUUGAAGCGAAUGCUGAACUUGACUCCCCAGGCCAAAGUGAACCCCUGUCACGAAGAAUAAAAAUAACGGUAGCACGAAGAAGAAAAAUAAAAAAUAGCGGUAAGAAGGAAAAUAGAAGAAAAUAAUAGAAGAGAUAACAGAAAAUGGAGAAACGUAGUGACAAUCUGGAGAAAAGUGGGUCGAAGAUCGGCCAGGUUAAAUGGCAGCUGAGGAGAAGUUAUGAUGUAAUUUACAUUUCAAAAACUGAUGCCAUUCAUUUACGAAUGUGAUUGCACUUUAGUUUACAUAUUUAAAUGUUCAGAUAUCAAAAUUUGAAUGAGGCAAAAAAACAUGAUUUUUCUCUCAAAUAUAUUGUAAACAUUUGUUUCACAUGUACUGUAAUUAUUUUCUGUAUAAAAAUUAAUUUGGUGUUCAAACUUGAGUCUUGAAAAAGAGGGGGCCGUCUUAAAAUCAGGGCCGUCUUAUAUUAGGGGCACUACGGUAAAUGAUCCAUUUCAUGAUAUUUUACAAAUGUUUUGCCGUUCACUGGUUGAGGGAGAUGAUGAGCGAUUGCGUGUGUGUUAGUGUGUGUGUAUACACGCUCUUCCGAGUGUUGAUUGUUGUUGGGAAAUUUGUUUUAAAAAAAAUCCCCUUGAGAGUUUUGACAGUGCAGUCGAAUGUUUCAGUGUUCCGGUACCACUUCAGUGUCAGUGAACAACACGUGAUGAUCUCAGGCUUACGUUUUUUUGCCAUUCUAUAAGGAAGAAAUCCAAAACUGUGACAACUCUGAAAACACAUUGUUAGAAGGGCAAUUCAAGUGGCUCUCAAUGAUCACAGUAUCUUGUCAGUAUCCGUGUUGUGUCAAAAAAAAUGAACCCAUUUUUUUGUUUUUUUUUGGACCCGGCGUCUCACCGUCUCCCAUGCGUUGGCUUUCGCCCAUCUGGCACGUCUCGUAAACGGGCGCAGCCGCCCCCUGCCGCUUCUGACUUUGUGUGUCCAUGGGGCUUGUAUAUCGGAUGCCUUCGACAAUCAUGUGCACAUAUCAGAGUUACCAUGACGACACGGGGCUGGAUUGUCUUUUGUUCUUCUUUUUCCUCCUGGAAUAAAUCCUGAAUGAUCACCCCCCAAAAAAAAUCUGCUUCCUUUUCUUUCUUUUUUUGCAUGCAAGCGUUUUCACACUUACUCCCUGUUUGAUGUAUUUCUAAUCGUGCUUUUUUUUCCCUCCCUCCCACCCACCAGCAGGCUUUCAGCUACGCGCAUGUGGCCGUAAGGCCAAGUUUGACCACGCCGGAUCGAGCGUAGAAGGUAUUUGGUGCGAAACAGAUGUUGAGCAGAGACACAAGACAGAUGCUGCAAAAAUCUCCAGGCGAUUGUUACCUUUCUUGGCUCAAGGUAGAACACUGGAUGGGGACGCCUGCAAACGUGCCGUUUGCAGAUGGCGCCUCCUGGAACUAUAAAUUCCUGACUAAUUGUCUGCUCUUUCGAUUUUUAAGCGUUACACUUCCACAACUGUUUGUGAAACGUUCAGUAGGAGCGACCUGAAUGUAUGGCAACUGUAUUUCUUUUUUUUUUUUUCAUUUUAAACUGAUAGUCGUGGUUUACAUAUUGUUUUAACUGCAUGAUCUUCAAGUGAUUGAUUGAGUAGGAGCUGUGGAAUUUUAAAAAAAAGCAAGCUGACAUUUGCCCCCCCAUUUAAUUUAAUAUCUGACUUAUGAAAAGUCAGUUGAACUGAAAACUUCCCUAUUGGAUAUUUGGACAUCCCUCCAUAUGGUUUCUCUAUUUUCUGAAUCUCCUCCUCCGGUUUUCAGGUGCUUCUGGUGGCUUGAUUUGAAUGAUUUACCAAUGCCUGUAAAUCUUACAAACUUUUUUUUUUUUGCCUGCAGGUUGAGCUUGGAAAAAAAAAUCAGCGGAUCCCCUUUCCCUCCAGGGUGUUUGUGGGACGUAGAGAUGUGGAGAGCUUCACAACGCUGGAAGUCAAUUGCAUUCCGAGCUUACCUACUCACCCGUCUGUGGUUGGACAAAAGCUGCACAAGAAGGGGGGCCUCUACACUGCAACACUUAUCGGAAAGAGGCAAGUGUGACUAAUUUCUAUUUCAGGAGGACUGCUUUUGUGAUUUUUCUUUUUUUUUGGGGUCCCAUAAAACUGGCGAUGAGACCAACUUUGUGUUAGAG